CCUACGGGAGGCAGCAGUCGAGAAUCAUUCACAAUGGGGGAAACCCUGAUGGUGCGACGCCGCGUGGGGGAAUGAAGGUCUUCGGAUUGUAAACCCCUGUCAUGUGGGAGCAAAUUAAAAAGAUAGUACCACAAGAGGAAGAGACGGCUAACUCUGUGCCAGCAGACGCGGUAAUACAGAGGUCUCAAGCGUUGUUCGGAAUCACUGGGCGUAAAGCGUGCGUAGGCUGUUUCGUCAGUCGUGUGUGAAAGGUGCGGGCUCAACCCGCGGACGGCACAUGAUACUGGGAGACUAGAGUAAUGGAGGGGGAACCGGAAUUCUCGGUGUAGCAGUGAAAUGCGUAGAUAUCGAGAAGAACACUCGUGGCGAAGGCAGGUUCCUGGACAUUAACUGACGCUGAGGCACGAAGGCCAGGGGAGCGAAAGGGAUUAGAUACCCUGGUAGUC
RNAcentral lists this ribosomal RNA (446 nucleotides) under uncultured bacterium. RNAcentral's name for it is "partial 16S ribosomal RNA". It matches the Rfam family "Bacterial small subunit ribosomal RNA", at positions 338 to 795 of the family's 1533-position model. The record is from RNAcentral.